RNAcentral lists this ribosomal RNA (431 nucleotides) under uncultured bacterium. RNAcentral's name for it is "partial 16S ribosomal RNA". It matches the Rfam family "Bacterial small subunit ribosomal RNA", at positions 29 to 507 of the family's 1533-position model. The record is from RNAcentral.
AACGAACGCUGGCGGCAGGCUUAACACAUGCAAGUCGAGCGCCCCGCAAGGGGAGCGGCCGACGGGUGAGUAACGCGUGGGAACGUACCUUUUGGUUCGGAACAACUCCGGGAAACUGGAGCUAAUACCGGAUAAGCCCUAACGGGGAAAGAUUUAUCGCCGAAAGAUCGGCCCGCGUCUGAUUAGCUAGUUGGUGAGGUAACGGCUCACCAAGGCGACGAUCAGUAGCUGGUCUGAGAGGAUGAUCAGCCACACUGGGACUGAGACACGGCCCAGACUCCUACGGGAGGCAGCAGUGGGGAAUAUUGGACAAUGGGCGCAAGCCUGAUCCAGCCAUGCCGCGUGAGUGAUGAAGGCCUUAGGGUUGUAAAGCUCUUUUGUCCGGGAAGAUAAUGACUGUACCGAAAGAAUAAGCCCCGGCUAACUUCGUG